Molecule: long non-coding RNA, 686 nt
Filed under: Olea europaea (common olive)
Lineage: Eukaryota; Viridiplantae; Streptophyta; Magnoliopsida; Lamiales; Oleaceae
Description: long non-coding RNA (OEUR_LNC012691)
Source: RNAcentral
AAACGAUCAGUACAGACUACAUAUCGAAUAAUAUUUCAGCCAAAUCUCCAAGAUACUGGGUCGUGCAAUGCAGUUCGGCCAUGUCAAGCCACUCCAAAAGUGAUCAGACUCGACCUGUUUAGUAUUUACACAUCCAUGUAUGUUAUUGGACAACACUCAUUAGACAGGGUGAUGAAUAAAACUAGAAACAUCUUUCUUCACAAAUUGUUGAAAAGUGUCGUACAAUUCAAUGUAGUAUGUACUAUGUUGCUUGUACCUGAUUGUUGCACAAAAGUAGAAGACGCUAAUUAACAUAAACAUUGAUUUACAAUUGUAUGUCAAUUAACUUCUGUGCAUAACAUAAUAAAGCAAACGCAAGAUUUCCAAAAUACAGAUAUUAAAUUUGAAACCAGCUCGUCGACGUCAAUUCUGAAAUAUCAACCAAAGGACAAUUGCAAGCAAACCCAAUUUAUUAGCCAGAGAACUCAACAAAUGAAAUAAAGCAAAAUUGGGCCCCCUAAGGGUUUUGGGCCUGAGGCUGAGGCCUCAAAUGCCUCAGCCCAGGACCGGCCCUGGUUGGCUGUUGGAAAGCAUCCGAGUGCAUAGAUUUUAAAUCUUGCACUAGAAUUUAUUAUCUUUCAAAAUAAUAUCAUUUUUUAAAGUUACUGAUCCACGAUAGUUCUUAAGCAAUUAUUGAAACAUUGGAG